UACAGAGGUCUCAGGCGUUGUUCGGAUUCAUUGGGCGUAAAGGGUGUGUAGGUGGCGCCGUAAGUCGGGUGUGAAAUUUCGGAGCUUAACUCCGAAACUGCAUUCGAUACUGCGGUGCUUGAGGACUGGAGAGGAGACUGGAAUUCAUGGUGUAGCAGUGAAAUGCGUAGAGAUCAUGAGGAAGACCAGUGGCGAAGGCGGGUCUCUGGACAGUUCCUGACGCUGAGGCACGAAGGUCAGGGGAGCAAACGGG
RNAcentral lists this ribosomal RNA (253 nucleotides) under uncultured bacterium. RNAcentral describes it as "partial 16S ribosomal RNA". It matches the Rfam family "Bacterial small subunit ribosomal RNA", at positions 524 to 776 of the family's 1533-position model. The record is from RNAcentral.